Molecule: long non-coding RNA, 1547 nt
Organism: Pungitius pungitius (ninespine stickleback)
Lineage: Eukaryota; Metazoa; Chordata; Actinopteri; Perciformes; Gasterosteidae
Exons: 2
Source: RefSeq, a predicted model, not a curated record
ACGGGUACAUUUAUUGAUUAUGUGUCAUGUUGUAAAGUAAGGUUGAAAGAGGAGGUGGGGCGUAACAAUAUGCUUUAAGGACAAAAUAAUGCGGGCCGUUUCAAACAUUAGUUGGAAACACCUAACUCUGAUCACAUCUGUAACGCGCAUGCGCAAGUUCUUCCAUCGGGUGCAGCGCGAGGUGAAGUGUGUCCGGGAGCAGAGCGACGUGAACGGGCUGAUACAACCACGGCCACCGGCCCCAAUACUCUGUUCCUGUGGAUGGAGGUUACAUCUGAUGGAGUUUGUCCCGCCUUACACCUGGCGUACUACUCUGAAUAUUUGAACGUACUGUACAUCUUUAAGUUGUUCUUUCUGUACACACCCACUCCUCCACUGUUCACCCUUAAGUGUUGAAGGGAGUUUUAUCUGUGCCGAUGUGAUGGUUUUGGGACAGGAUGCUGCAUGUUUAGACUGUAAAGCUCCCUCAGGCUUAUUUUUCAUUUUGGGUUGAGCAAAAUAAAAUGAAUUGAAUUGAAUUAACUUGUUGACUAGAGGCAUCUGCAACUGAGGGGUGUUCUGCGCAUUCUGAAUCAUUGAGUGACGAUGAGGGAGACGGAGCUGAUUUCAGGUAUACGAUCCGGAUUCAAGUGACUCGGAGCCAGAUCUUGUUACAGAAUCUGAAAAUGAAGUGGAAACUAACUGGUUCAUGUUGUUGCUCCACUUAUAAUUUCAUAGUUUAUUUUCACAAAAUAUAAUUUAUUUAUUUUGUAUAGGAAAAGUGUUUAGUUAUAUAUUGAUAACAACAACAAUAGAAAUUAAUCAAAUUCUGUUGUCCUUGUUAAGGGCUGUUGACAUGAUUGAAACUUGUACUUUUCCAGCGAGCAAUUUUGCCGUUGAAAAGACAUUUAAAAGACGUCCAUGGCCUAACGUUGAAAAGACGUUGCAAAAUGGUUUAAAAGUGAAUGUUGUUUCAACGUCUAUUCGUAGACGUUGAAAAGACGUCUCUGUUUAGACCCGUUUUCAACGUGAUUUUUAAUAUCUGUGGUAAACGCACAAAUGUAGACGUCAUUUCUUUUUACACCUAUAAAAUAAUGCUAUAGCACAAAGUAGAGGACGACAUUUUACCGUAUUAAAUCACGUUGAUAUGUGGUCUAAAUAUAGACGUCUUUUCAAUAAUAAUUGAUAAUAAUAAUAAUGAUAAUUAUGUAUCGGUGUCCUGUUAUUGAUCUUUUGUAUGCAUUUCAGAAAGAAAAAAUGCUUAGGAUUCAGGUGUAAUUGCAAAUAGUGAUUAAUCCUGAUUAAUCCACUGAAAAUUCUGAUUAAUUGGAUUCAAAUUGUUAAGUAUUUGACAGCCUUAAUUUAAACUUAAAAUAAACAAUUAAUCCCGAUAGUCAAAUUAUUUCCUCUUUCAUAGUUUCUACUUCCCCUUCAUCUCAAAUAUUUAUUUAAAUCUUGCAAAUUAUCUCUGCAUUUAUACAACAGGCCAUCAGUAACAUUGUUGGUGAAUAAUUGAAACAAAAUGUCGUAACUUGAUGAUAUUUCAAUAAAGUUAGACAGUUUUCUUC